GUUCGGAAAGGUGACUUUCUGAGUAACGUAGCUAACGCGUGAAGUGAUCCGCCUGGGGAGUACGGUCGCAAGAUUAAAACCCAAAGGAAUUGACGGGGACCCGCACAAGCGGUGGAUGAUGUGGAUUAAUUCGAUGCAACGCGAAAAACCUUACCUACCCUUGACAUGCCUGGAAGAUCGCAGAGAUGUGAUUGUGCCUUCGGGAACCAGGACACAGGUGCUGCAUGGCUGUCGUCAGCUCGUGUCGUGAGAUGUUGGGUUAAGUCCCGCAACGAGCGCAACCCUUGUCUCUAGUUGCUACGCAAGGGCACUCUAGAGAGACUGCCGGUGACAAACCGGAGGAAGGUGGGGAUGACGUCAAGUCCUCAGGCCCUUACACG
This 380-nucleotide ribosomal RNA is filed under the name uncultured beta proteobacterium. RNAcentral describes it as "bacterial SSU rRNA". It matches the Rfam family "Bacterial small subunit ribosomal RNA", at positions 822 to 1208 of the family's 1533-position model. Lineage: Bacteria; Pseudomonadati; Pseudomonadota; Betaproteobacteria. The record is from RNAcentral.